GUGGGGAAUUUUCCGCAAUGGGCGCAAGCCUGACGGAGUGACGCCGCGUGGGGGACGACGGCCUUCGGGUUGUAAACCCCUGUCAGGAGGAAAGAAGGCUGGGGGUGUGAAGAGCGCCCCGAGUUGACGGUACCUUCAGAGGAAGCCCCGGCCAACUCUGUGCCAGCAGCCGCGGUAAGACAGAGGGGGCAAGCGUUGCUCGGAAUCACUGGGCGUAAAGGGCGCGUAGGCGGGGUCGCAAGUCGGUCGUGAAAUCUCCGGGCUCAACUCGGGGGGGUCGGCCGAAACUGCGGGUCUUGAGGGGCGCAGAGGAGUCUGGAAUUCCCGGUGUAGCGGUGAAAUGUGUAGAGAUCGGGAGGAACACCGGUGGCGAAGGCGGGGCUCUGGGCGCAGCCUGACGCUGAGGCGCGAAAGCGUGGGGAGCAAACGGGAUUAGAAACCCCGGUAGUCC
This 451-nucleotide ribosomal RNA is filed under the name uncultured bacterium. Its description in RNAcentral is "bacterial SSU rRNA". It matches the Rfam family "Bacterial small subunit ribosomal RNA", at positions 354 to 796 of the family's 1533-position model. The record is from RNAcentral.